Molecule: ribosomal RNA, 253 nt
Filed under: uncultured bacterium
Lineage: Bacteria
Description: partial 16S ribosomal RNA
Rfam family: Bacterial small subunit ribosomal RNA
Source: RNAcentral
UACGGAGGGUGCAAGCGUUAAUCGGAAUUACUGGGCGUAAAGCGCGCGUAGGCGGUUUGAUAAGUCGGAUGUGAAAGCCCCGGGCUCAACCUGGGAACUGCAUUCGAUACUGUCUGACUAGAGUAUGGUAGAGGGAAGUGGAAUUUCAGGUGUAGCGGUGAAAUGCGUAGAUAUCUGAAGGAACAUCAGUGGCGAAGGCGACUUCCUGGACCAAUACUGACGCUGAGGUGCGAAAGCGUGGGGAGCAAACAGG